Molecule: long non-coding RNA, 694 nt
Organism: Stegodyphus dumicola
Lineage: Eukaryota; Metazoa; Arthropoda; Arachnida; Araneae; Eresidae
Source: RefSeq, a predicted model, not a curated record
CGAACGAUUACGUAAGUUCGAUGUGGUGUGGUCGGCGCCCCCCCCCUCUCACCUUCGCAUAAGGGGGUAAUGUGCUUAUUUUGACGAACACAACCCCCUUCCCUCACCUAAGAUUGCGGGGACUUCGACAGGGUGAUAAAAGUGAGGGAGGUGGUUUCUACAGUAGUGUCUGUCUUCUUGCUUUUUCAAGAGGAGGUCCGCCGGCUGCUAUUACCUCUCUCUGUCGGGGGGUGGGCACAGUAUCUUGCCAGAAAGAUACUUGGUUGCCGAACGAAAGAGCGGAUAUGGCAAUACACAGCAGCAUCGAUCAAGAGAUGUCUUUGUGGAGGCCUUUUCAGGAAAACAGGCUCUCAUCCACGUUACACAUGAGGAAAACAACAAAAACUCCCAUGCAGUCAGCCGGUUCAGAGAUAGUUCAAACAGUGUUCAGUGACUACAGCGGUGGUGGACAUUUACUAAGUUUUGGUUUACAGUUUAGAACACCUAUGUAGCUGGAAUAAUCUCCAAAGAUUAAGCUUCUCCAAAUACAGAAUGCUUUGCCGGGCACUGUAAUCUUCCUCAACAGAUGAAUUAAUUUAGGUGACAUGAUGGCAGUGGAUAUGAAAACUCCCAGAGCAUCAAAGCCUCUUGAUAAAUUUGAAACAACACUUUUUUCUGUAUCGGAGAAAAAUUUGAAUAAAAUUCAAGGUUAUGU